CCUACGGUAGGCAGCAGUGUGGAAUAUUGCACAAUGGGGGAAACCCUGAUGCAGCGACGCCGCGUGAGUGAAGAAGUAAUUCGUUACGUAAAGCUCUAUCAGCAGGGAAGAAACACUGACCUUACGGUCAGCAGACGGUACCUUAGUAAGAAGCCCCGGCUAACUACGUGCCAGCAGCCGCGGUAAUACGUAGGGGGCAAGCGUUAUCCGGAUUUACUGUGUGUAAAGGGAGCGUAGACGGUGCGCCAAGUCGGGAGUGAAAUGCCUCAGCUUAACUGCGGAACUGCUUUGGAAACUGGCGAACUAGAGUGCGGGAGGGGUAAGCGGAAGUCCUAGUGUAGCGGUGAAAUGCGUAGAUAUUAGGAGGAACACCGGUGGCGAAGGCGGCUUACUGGACCGUAACUGACGUUGAGGCUCGAAAGCGUGGGGAGCAAACAGGAUUAGAUACCCCGGUAGUC
RNAcentral lists this ribosomal RNA (458 nucleotides) under uncultured bacterium. RNAcentral describes it as "partial 16S ribosomal RNA". It matches the Rfam family "Bacterial small subunit ribosomal RNA", at positions 338 to 795 of the family's 1533-position model. The record is from RNAcentral.